CUUCUAACAACGGAUGUCUUGGCUCUCGCAUCGAUGAAGAACGCAGCGAAAUGCGAUACGUAAUGUGAAUUGCAGAAUUCGUGAAUCAUCGAGUUUUUGAACGCAUAUUGCACUUGCCAGUUUACUGGUGAGUAUGUCUUCUUGAGCGUCUC
Molecule: ribosomal RNA, 152 nt
Filed under: Micronuclearia podoventralis
Lineage: Eukaryota; Rigifilida
Description: 5.8S ribosomal RNA
Rfam family: 5.8S ribosomal RNA
About the family: 5.8S ribosomal RNA (5.8S rRNA) is a component of the large subunit of the eukaryotic ribosome. It is transcribed by RNA polymerase I as part of the 45S precursor that also contains 18S and 28S rRNA.
Source: RNAcentral